RNAcentral lists this long non-coding RNA (308 nucleotides) under Ananas comosus (pineapple). Its description in RNAcentral is "long non-coding RNA (ACOM_LNC002172)". The record is from RNAcentral. Lineage: Eukaryota; Viridiplantae; Streptophyta; Magnoliopsida; Poales; Bromeliaceae.
UUUUGUGCUACAUAUCGUACUGUUACACGCUUUAGCGGAGAAUCUUGAACUCUUUUGAUCUGAGUUACACCACUUAACGACUUCUUUAAAUAUAAAUUUCAUUUACUCCGAAACCCCCCGGCGACCGUCCAGCCCCGCAGCCGAGCUUCCUGGCACACCGACUCUUAUGUCGCACAUCGUCGACCGUCCUACCCCGCAGUGACCGUCCUGCGCCGCCGACGCUUCGUCUUCAUUUGGAGGGGUAGCCGUUAAUUUGCAGUACUAUGUUGAGAUUAUAUUAAGGAAUAGAGAAAGUAAAAUUUUGACUG